Drosophila montana is the source of this 701-nucleotide long non-coding RNA. RefSeq lists it as uncharacterized. Lineage: Eukaryota; Metazoa; Arthropoda; Insecta; Diptera; Drosophilidae. The record is from RefSeq and is a predicted model, not a curated record. The transcript is spliced from 3 exons.
CCUAUUCAUACUCCAAACAACUCACCGUCUCCACAUAAAGCUUGUAAGAGCUUGUAGCUAUGUCUAUUGUCUAUUUUUUCAGUAAGACAAUAAAAAAGAACCGACCGCUGAUGACUAAAGCAUUGUUACACCCCAGAUUGAACCCUGCCAAAAUGGAUGUUGGGGUUAAUGUUAAUCGUUAAGUCGGUGAGAUAACUCCUGUUUAGAGUCCGGCCUUGCUCUGAAGUCUAGCAUCUAUAAAGUCUUGCGUCAGCUCACGCAUGAAAACCACUGCUUGCAGAGGCACUCAUGGUGACAUCGGGGACAAGCCUACAUAUGAAACGAUAUAGCGACUGAACCUUGGAUCCCUACAACACGAAUUCAAAAUCAAAAUAAGAAGAAGACAAGAAUCGAUAAGGAAGAUGGGUGCACGUAGGCAGCGCAUAGCAACAGACUCGGCAGGAAGUACACUGAUAAAAGCGACCCUUCAAACAGUGCGACAUUAGUCCCAAGACAGUAACUGAUGCUCAAGAUUUUUAAUUUACAUUUGUUGCUUGGAAUAGAGAAACCCGAGAAAAUCCCCAGUGAUCUUAAACAUUCUUAAAAUUCCUCAAAGUCACCAAACGUAGCGAUUGGUGAAAUUGGCAGCGUCAAUUUGGCUUAAUGGCAAAAUCGUCCCUAUAUAAUUAAAAUUUUAUUCCAUAAUAAAUAAUUUCUGCUCU